This 460-nucleotide ribosomal RNA is filed under the name uncultured bacterium. Its description in RNAcentral is "partial 16S ribosomal RNA". It matches the Rfam family "Bacterial small subunit ribosomal RNA", at positions 338 to 795 of the family's 1533-position model. The record is from RNAcentral.
CCUACGGGAUGCAGCAGUGAGGAAUAUUGGUCAAUGGACGAGAGCCUGAACCAGCCAAGUAGCGUGAAGGAUGACUGCCCUAUGGGUUGUAAACUUCUUUUAUAAAGGAAUAAAACGAGCCACGUGUGCCUUUUUGCAUGUACUUUAUGAAUAAGGAUCGGCUAACUCCGUGCCAGCAGCCGCGGUAAUACGGAGGAUCCGAGCGUUAUCCGGAUUUAUUGGGUUUAAAGGGAGCGUAGAUGGGUUGUUAAGUCAGUUGUGAAAGUUUGGGGCUCAACCGUAAAAUUGCAGUUGAUACUGGCGUGCUUGAGUACAGGUGAGGUAGGCGGAAUUCGUGGUGUAGCGGUGAAAUGCUUAGAUAUCACGAAGAACCCCGAUUGCGAAGGCAGCUUACUAAACUGUAACUGACAUUGAUGCUCGAAAGUGUGGGUAUCGAACAGGAUUAGAUACCCUGGUAGUC